This 529-nucleotide long non-coding RNA is filed under the name Anas platyrhynchos platyrhynchos (common mallard). Its description in RNAcentral is "lncRNA (ENSAPLG00000018749.1)". Lineage: Eukaryota; Metazoa; Chordata; Aves; Anseriformes; Anatidae. The record is from RNAcentral.
AACAGAACUCUGGCAAGUAUUGUUCAGAUCUCAUUUCUGUCCACAUGUAGAAUCCUGACAAGUCAUAUGUGAAGCACUGGCCACCAAGAAAAGAAUUUCUACAGCUGCAGAACACUGGGUUCCAUUUUGGACAGUUGUGAGAAAGAUAUGCAUUUCUUUCAACAGAAGUCCAGAGGCACUGGAAAUAUUCUUACUAAAGAAAUGCCAAAAAUUGUGCAUAGAAGACUGUCAUCAGAAUGAUUGCUUUGGGGCAGAAAAGGCAAUUCUGGAUAAUUAGAUCUUAUGGCAGGCUUUCUUACAUCCGGUAUAUAAAGAACCAUCAGCGUUUCAAGAGAAGUCAAGGAAAUGAAAUCCUUUCACCGUAAAAGCACUAAACAGAAUGGAAUUGGCUGCAAGAGCUUGAUCAUCAGCUUUACCCUGUUUAGUGUUGGGAGGAUAACUUUUGUGAACUUUUGAAAAUUUUGCAAUAAUUAAUCUUGACUGCAUGCUUGGCAAUACUUUCCCAAUAAAGGUUUAGUUUAACUUGGCA